RNAcentral lists this ribosomal RNA (280 nucleotides) under uncultured archaeon. RNAcentral describes it as "partial 16S rRNA". It matches the Rfam family "Archaeal small subunit ribosomal RNA", at positions 1047 to 1325 of the family's 1478-position model. The record is from RNAcentral.
GAGACCCAUGCCCAUUGUUGCUAACGUACCCUCCGGGGUGACGAGUACACUGUGGGGACCGUCUGGAGCUAAUCCAGAGGAAGGAAUGGGCGACGGUAGGUCAGUAUGCCCCGAAUACACCGGGCUACACGCGGGCUACAAUGGUCGGGACAAUGGGUAUCGACACCGAAAGGUGAAGGCAAUCCCCUAAACCCGAUCGUAGUUCGGAUCGAGGGCUGCAACUCGCCCUCGUGAAGCUGGAAUCCGUAGUAAUCGCGCCUCAAAAUGUCGCGGUGAAUAC